GAUCAUGGCUCAGGAUGAACGCUAGCUACAGGCUUAACACAUGCAAGUCGAGGGGCAUCAGGGUGUAGCAAUACACCACUGGCGACCGGCGCACGGGUGAGUAACACGUAUCCAACCUGCCCUUUACUCGGGGGAUAGCCUUUCGAAAGAAAGAUUAAUACCCGAUGGUAUAACAUGACCUCCUGGUUUUGUUAUUAAAGAAUUUCGGUAGAGGAUGGGGAUGCGUUCCAUUAGGCAGUUGGCGGGGUAACGG
This 253-nucleotide ribosomal RNA is filed under the name uncultured bacterium. RNAcentral's name for it is "partial 16S ribosomal RNA". It matches the Rfam family "Bacterial small subunit ribosomal RNA", at positions 15 to 263 of the family's 1533-position model. The record is from RNAcentral.